AUGCAUGGGCGAGCCUGAUGCAGCAACGCCGCGUGAGGGAUGACGGCCUUCGGGUUGUAAACCUCUUUUAGCAGGGAAGAAGCGAAAGUGACGGUACCUGCAGAAAAAGCGCCGGCUAACUACGUGCCAGCAGCCGCGGUAAUACGUAGGGCGCAAGCGUUAUCCGGAAUUAUUGGGCGUAAAGAGCUCGUAGGCGGUUUGUCGCGUCUGCUGUGAAAACUGGAGGCUCAACCUCCAGCCUGCAGUGGGUACGGGCAGACUAGAGUGCGGUAGGGGAGAUUGGAAUUCCUGGUGUAGCGGUGGAAUGCGCAGAUAUCAGGAGGAACACCGAUGGCGAAGGCAGAUCUCUGGGCCGUAACUGACGCUGAGGAGCGAAAGGGUGGGGAGCGAACAGGCUUAGAUACCCUGGUAGUCCACCCCGUAAACGUUGGGAACUAGUUGUGGGGGCCUUUCCACGGUCUCCGUGACGCAGCUAACGCAUUAAGUUCCCCGCCUGGGGAGUACGGCCGCAAGGCUAAAACUCAAAUGAAAUUGACGGA
Molecule: ribosomal RNA, 539 nt
Filed under: Microbacterium petrolearium
Lineage: Bacteria; Bacillati; Actinomycetota; Actinomycetes; Micrococcales; Microbacteriaceae
Description: bacterial SSU rRNA
Rfam family: Bacterial small subunit ribosomal RNA
Source: RNAcentral